RNAcentral lists this ribosomal RNA (673 nucleotides) under uncultured Actinomycetes bacterium. RNAcentral describes it as "bacterial SSU rRNA". It matches the Rfam family "Bacterial small subunit ribosomal RNA", at positions 790 to 1461 of the family's 1533-position model. Lineage: Bacteria; Bacillati; Actinomycetota; Actinomycetes. The record is from RNAcentral.
GUAGUCCACGCCGUAAACGGUGGGCGCUAGAUGUGGGGACCCUUCCAUGGUUUCUGCGUCGCAGCUAACGCAUUAAGCGCCCCGCCUGGGGAGUACGGUCGCAAGACUAAAACUCAAAGGAAUUGACGGGGGCCCGCACAAGCAGCGGAGCAUGCGGCUUAAUUCGAUGCUACGCGAAGAACCUUACCUAGACUUGACAUAUACGGAAGACAUGCAGAGAUGUAUGGUCCUAACGGGCCGUUUACAGGUGGUGCAUGGUUGUCGUCAGCUCGUGUCGUGAGAUGUUGGGUUAAGUCCCGCAACGAGCGCAACCCUCGUUCUAUGUUGCCAGCACGUAAUGGUGGGGACUCAUAGGAGACUGCCGGGGUCAACUCGGAGGAAGGUGGGGAUGACGUCAAAUCAUCAUGCCCCUUAUGUCUAGGGCUGCACGCAUGCUACAAUGGCUGGUACAAAGGGCUGCGAUACCGCAAGGUGGAGCGAAUCCCAAAAAGCCAGUCUCAGUUCGGAUUGGGGUCUGCAACUCGACCCCAUGAAGUUGGAGUUGCUAGUAAUCGCAGAUCAGCAACGCUGCGGUGAAUACGUUCCCGGGCCUUGUACACACCGCCCGUCACGUCACGAAAGUCGGUAACACCACGAAGCCGGUGGCCUAACCGUAAGGAAGGAGCCGUCGAAG